RNAcentral lists this ribosomal RNA (456 nucleotides) under uncultured archaeon. RNAcentral describes it as "bacterial SSU rRNA". It matches the Rfam family "Archaeal small subunit ribosomal RNA", at positions 880 to 1336 of the family's 1478-position model. The record is from RNAcentral.
CACAAGGGGUGAAGCCUGCGGUUCAAUUGGAGUCAACGCCAGGAAACUUACCAGGAGAGACAGCAGGUUGAGGGUCAGUCUGAAGAACUUACCUGACGAGCUGAGAGGAGGUGCAUGGCCGUCGCCAGCUCGUGCCGUGAGGCGUCCUGUUAAGUCAGGCAACGAGCGAGACCCCUAUCGGUAAUUGCUAACUGCCCAGAGAUGGGUAGAGGCUAGUUACAGAGACUGCCGUUGAUAAAACGGAGGAAGGAAGGGGCCACGGCAGGUCAGUAUGCCCCGAAACUCCUGGGCCACACGCGGGCUGCAAUGGUAGGGACAAUAGGUUCCGACCUCGAAAGAGGAAGGCAAUCCCCAAACCCUACCCCAGUUGUGAUCGAGGAUUGAAACCCGCCCUCGUGAAUAUGGAAUCCCUAGUAACCGCGUGUCAUCACCGCGCGGUGAAUACGUCCCUGCUCC